This 466-nucleotide ribosomal RNA is filed under the name uncultured bacterium. Its description in RNAcentral is "bacterial SSU rRNA". It matches the Rfam family "Bacterial small subunit ribosomal RNA", at positions 330 to 793 of the family's 1533-position model. The record is from RNAcentral.
UCCAGACUCCUACGGGAGGCAGCAGUGAGGAAUAUUGGUCAAUGGGCGAGAGCCUGAACCAGCCAAGUCGCGUGAGGGAUGACUGCCCUAUGGGUUGUAAACCUCUUUUGUAUGGGGGGAAUAAGCUUUACGAGUAGAGUGAUGACAGUACCAUACGAAUAAGCAUCGGCUAACUCCGUGCCAGCAGCCGCGGUAAUACGGAGGAUGCGAGCGUUAUCCGGAUUUAUUGGGUUUAAAGGGAGCGUAGGUGGAUUGUUAAGUCAGUUGUGAAAGUUUGCGGCUCAACCGUAAAAUUGCAGUUGAAACUGGCAGUCUUGAGUACAGUAGAGGUGGGCGGAAUUCGUGGUGUAGCGGUGAAAUGCUUAGAUAUCACGAAGAACUCCGAUUGCGAAGGCAGCUCACUGGACUGCAACUGACACUGAGGCUCGAAAGUGUGGGUAUCAAACAGGAUUAGAUACCCUAGUAU